GCCGGGCCUGGUGGCGUGUGCCUGUAAUCCCCGCUGCCCGGGAGGCUGAGGCAGGAGGAUCGCUUGAGUCUCGGAGUUCUGGGCUGUAGUGCGCUAUGCCGGUUGGGUGUCUGCACUAAAUCCAACAUCAAUAUGGCGACCUCCCGGGAGUGGGGGACCACCAGGUUGCCCAAGGAGGGGUGAACUGGCCCAGGUCGGAAACGGAGCAGGUCAAGAUUACUUCUCCCCACUUCCCGCUUCUUUCCCCAGCCCAUGACCACAUAGUUCAUAUGCCAG
RNAcentral lists this signal recognition particle RNA (276 nucleotides) under Tupaia belangeri chinensis (Chinese tree shrew). Its description in RNAcentral is "Tupaia chinensis (Chinese tree shrew) Metazoan signal recognition particle RNA". It matches the Rfam family "Metazoan signal recognition particle RNA". From Rfam's summary of the family: The signal recognition particle (SRP) is a universally conserved ribonucleoprotein. The record is from Rfam by way of RNAcentral. Lineage: Eukaryota; Metazoa; Chordata; Mammalia; Scandentia; Tupaiidae.